AUAGUAAAACUUUAACAGCCUAGGCGUUAUGAAGCACCGAGUUCUCUAGAGUGAGUCGUACUGGAAACUAGUCAGGUUGUAGUUCAUGUCCCGGGACAGCA
Etheostoma spectabile (orangethroat darter) is the source of this 101-nucleotide long non-coding RNA. RefSeq lists it as uncharacterized. The transcript has 3 exons. The record is from RefSeq and is a predicted model, not a curated record. Lineage: Eukaryota; Metazoa; Chordata; Actinopteri; Perciformes; Percidae.